AACUGAAACAUCUAAGUACCCGGAGGAAAGGACAUCAACGAGACUCCGUUAGUAGUGGCGAGCGAACGCGGACCAGGCCAGUGCUUUUUGUUUUUCUAACCGGAACGAUCUGGAAAGGUCGGCUGCAGCGGGUGAUAGCCCCGUACGGAUUUCGAUAGCAAGAAGCCACGAGUAGGGCGGGACACGUGCAAUCCUGUCUGAACAUGGGGAGACCACUCUCCAAGCCUAAGUACUCCUCAGCGACCGAUAGCGAACAAGUACCGUGAGGGAAAGGUGAAAAGCACCCCGACGAGGGGAGUGAAACAGUUCCUGAAACCGGAUACCUACAAACAGUCGGAGCCCGCAAGGGUGACGGCGUACCUUUUGUAUAAUGGGUCAGCGACUUAAAGUAACGAGCAAGCUUAAGCCGAUAGGCGGAGGCGCAGCGAAAGCGAGUCUGAACAGGGCGUUCAGUUCGUUGCUUUAGACCCGAAACC
This 476-nucleotide ribosomal RNA is filed under the name uncultured bacterium. Its description in RNAcentral is "bacterial LSU rRNA". It matches the Rfam family "Bacterial large subunit ribosomal RNA", at positions 191 to 722 of the family's 2925-position model. The record is from RNAcentral.